This 492-nucleotide ribosomal RNA is filed under the name uncultured bacterium. Its description in RNAcentral is "partial 16S ribosomal RNA". It matches the Rfam family "Bacterial small subunit ribosomal RNA", at positions 29 to 507 of the family's 1533-position model. The record is from RNAcentral.
AGUGAACGCUGGCGGUAGGCCUAACACAUGCAAGUCGAACGGCAGCACAGUAAGAGCUUGCUCUUACGGGUGGCGAGUGGCGGACGGGUGAGGAAUACAUCGGAAUCUACUUUUUCGUGGGGGCUAACGUAGGGAAACUUACGCUAAUACCGCAUACGACCUACGGGUGAAAGCAGGGGAUCUUCGGACCUUGCGCGAUCGAAUGAGCCGAUGUCGGAUUAGCUGGUUGGCGGGGUAAAGGCCCACCAAGGCGCCGAUCCGUAGCUGGUCUGAGAGGAUGAUCAGCCACACUGGAACUGAGACACGGUCCAGACUCCUACGGGAGGCAGCAGUGGGGAAUAUUGGACAAUGGGCGCAAGCCUGAUCCAGCCAUACCGCGUGGGUGAAGAAGGCCUUCGGGUUGUAAAGCCCUUUUGUUGGGAAAGAAAAGCAGCAGGUUAAUACCCCGCUGUUCUGACGGUACCCAAAGAAUAAGCACCGGCUAACUUCGUG